CUUCAAGUUUCCGAUGCACAUGAUGGUGCCAUUGCAAAGAGUGGCAUAUGCAACGUUGAGGUGGUUGGAUCAGAAGAAACAUUGGGACACACCAUCUAUAAAGUCUCACACGGGAUACUCUUCAACUACUCCAUGGGUGGGAAUCCACACGCAAAGGCAAUGGUCUUGUUUGACAAGCUAAGGCAUUACAAAUGGGAUGCAAAAGCAGUUUUAGUGCUAUCAGCUUUUGCAACAAACUAUGGUGAAUUUUGGCUCAUAAUACAGCUUUACCCUUGCAAUCCCUUGGCAGCAUCUAUUGCAUUGCUAAAGCAGUUGCCCAAGGACUUGUGCUUGUUGAAGCAUCUUUUUAAGGUCUUGAAUGUGUUGAUGAAAAUGAUUGUAGAUUUGACAAAGUGCAUCAUUGAGUUCGAAGAAUUGCCGGUGAAUCAUGUGAUCCUGGAUUGUGAGGCAAUUGGCACUACAAACUCUCAGAUCUACAUGGCUACUUACUGGAUCAUUAGAAGUGCCUUGAUAUGCUCUUCCCAAAUCAAAGACUUGAGAGCCAUGGAAAAUGUGCAAGUGCAUGUUCUUUCUCUUCAAUCUAGUCACCACAUGUUGAAUUCUGUUGUUUACUUUUAUCGUUUCUAUUGAAUAUUCAAGGGAUCACAAGAUAAUUAUGAAUGUGAUGAAUUCAAUUUAUUUCCAAUGAAGAAUAUUAAUUUUUGUGACUGGUAUUUUGUAUGCUAUAAUGAAGUAAUAUGUUUUUUUUUUUUUUUUUUUUUUUUUUGUUUUGUUUUUUUUACAGGAAUUCAAAUUCAGUAACCAUUGCUUCAUGGGACCUCUCAAGCUUGGUGGGUAGGUUGAGCACCAUAAGCAGUCACCUCAGGCGGUAGGUGGAUGCUUGUUAUAAGCUGAUAGAGACAAAGAUGCAUAACAAGCUCUUGGAUCUCUCUAAGGAGAGCCACAUUGAUAACCAAGAGGUGCUUGAGAUGUUGUUUGCUUUGAAGGAUAGCUUGCCUCUGAAGGAUUCUUCCUCCAAAGCAAAGCUUGCGUUGUCUGAACUGAAAAGCAAGGUAGUGAUACUCUUGGUCUCAAGGCCAGAGCUCCUCCCUAUAGAAGUGUUACUCUUGUUGGUGAAACAGAUGUUUGAUCAUCCUCACUGGGUGAAUUUACAAGAAAGCUAUGAAAUUGUAUGGGUUCCCAUUCCAUCAUCGGAUACGUGGACUGAUGUAGAAGAAUAGAAUUUUGGUUUUUUAUCAAACUCAUUACCAUGGUUUUCAAUUCGGUGACCAUGGUUACUCAGCUCACUAGUGGUGAAAUCCAUUAAACAAGCAUGGGAUUUCAAAGAGAAGCCCUUAAUGGUAGUAUUGGAUACACAAGGUAUGGUUACAAACUUAAAUGCAAUUUGACAUGGCCUUGAUCGGGGGUGCCAUGGCCUUUCCCUUUUCUACUUCAAGAGAAAAUGAGCUAUGGGAAGAAGAAACUUGGAAUCUCCAACUAUUACUUGACGGAAUUGAUCCUCUGGUAGCAAAGUGGGUAGAAGAGGACCAAAACCUUUGCAUUUAUGGAAGCAACAACAUAGAUUGGAUUAGAGAAUUCAAUGCUAAGAUGAGGAACAUGACAAGUGCAGGACUGCAACUUAAGAUGGUCUAUGUUGGCAAGAAAAAUUCAAGUGAUGAUCACAUGAAAAACAUUUUAGCUACCAUGUAUGAGGAAAAGCUGACAAGUUCUUUAACUUGCACGAAGAUUUAUUUCUUUUGGCUUCGGUUGGAGAGCAUGGGAAGAUCAAAACUCCGAUUAGGACAUACAGAUGAUCAUAAAGAUGAGAUUCUAAAAUAGUUGUCGGAGUUACUAGACACCAAUGAUGAGAGUGAAAAAGGUUGGGUACUACUGGGAAAAGGGUCUUCGACAGAGACUUUGAAGCUUCAAGGGAGAAAAAUUAUGGAAUGCUUGGAUCUUUUUCCAAUGUGGGGAGAAAAUGUGGCCAUGUUAGGGUUAGUGGGUGCGAUUACAACUGCAAUCGAACCACCUCUUCUUGUUGAGCCUUGCAGUCACUCUAAUAUUAUACAGUUUGUUGAAGGAUUGAAAGACACAAUAAUUUGUGAUAAAUGUAAGUGCCUCUUGGAGAAAUUUGUGGUCUACAAAUGUGAUGAAACUGAGUAGGGUGCCCUAUCCGAGCCUUAUGAGACUUAGACUCAAAAUUUGUGGUCUACAAAUAUGUAUAAGAGCCUUAUGAGACUUAGGCUCAACACAACUCAAAAUAUCUCCUGGAGAGAGAGCUUCUAGAGGAAGGAAGAAGAGAAAAGAGAGAGAGAGCAGAGGAGAACUCAACCUACAGCUUGGGGUUGAGGAAUUGAAAGGGGAAAAUCAAGAUUAUAGCUCAAGGCAAGUGUAAAUCAACUAGAAUACUCUAAAUCUUGCUUCAAUUGGCUAAAAUCAAGACUUAAAAUGAAGUUUUGACACUCAUAAAAGUUAGAGUUUAUGGAUUAUGAUCUUGAUUGAACACAUCUCAUAAAAAUGAACAUGCAAUCUUUGGGUUGUGUGAUUAAAGAGUUAAUUCCUUUAUUUUUAGUUUGAUUUCGGUUGGAUUGUGA
This is a non-coding RNA of Camellia sinensis, 2573 nucleotides long. NCBI's taxonomy places the organism in Eukaryota, Viridiplantae, Streptophyta, Magnoliopsida, Ericales, Theaceae. The record is from RefSeq and is a predicted model, not a curated record.